CCUACGGGAGGCAGCAGUGAGGAAUAUUGGUCAAUGGACGAGAGUCUGAACCAGCCAAGUAGCGUGAAGGAUGACUGCCCUAUGGGUUGUAAACUUCUUUUAUAAAGGAAUAAAAGGAGGCACGUGUGCCUUUUUGCAUGUAUUUUAUGAAUAAGGAUCGGCUAACUCCGCGCCAGCAGCCGCGGUAAUACGGAGGAUCCGCGAGUUUUCCGGAUGUAUUGGGUUUAAAGGGAGCGUAGAUGGGUUGUUAAGUUAGUUGUGAAAGUUUGCGGGUCAACCGUAAAAUUGCAGUUGAUAAUGGCAGUCGUGAGUACAGUUGAGGUAGGCGGAAUUCGUGGUGUAGCGGUGAAAUGCUUAGAUAUCACGAAGAACCCCGAUUGCGAAGGCAGCUUUCCAAGCUGUGACUGACAUUGAUGCUCGAAAGUGUGGGUAUCAAACAGGAUUAGAUACCCCAGUAGUC
Molecule: ribosomal RNA, 460 nt
Filed under: uncultured bacterium
Lineage: Bacteria
Description: partial 16S ribosomal RNA
Rfam family: Bacterial small subunit ribosomal RNA
Source: RNAcentral